Molecule: long non-coding RNA, 662 nt
Organism: Bradysia coprophila
Lineage: Eukaryota; Metazoa; Arthropoda; Insecta; Diptera; Sciaridae
Source: RefSeq, a predicted model, not a curated record
ACCGUCAGAAGUAACUUUCAAUUCAGUUCGAUAACUAUUUCGACCAACCAUGAUGCAUAAAGUGUUUGCAGUUUUUUUCGUAUUGUGUGCCGUUCAAAAUGCGUUGGGAGGGGGAGGAGACGAAGUGAAAUGCGAUGGAGGACCUGUACAAUGUUGUAAUAAAUAUGGGACAAAAGAAGAGCUGAAACCUUCUCAAUUCUUGUUGGCUUUACUUGGAAUAAAUUUGCAAAGCAUCGUUGGCAACAUUGGAAUGGAAUGCUCACCGAUCGUAGCGGGGAUUGUUGGUGGUGGAGUAGGCGGGCAAAGUUGUACUCAACAAACUGUGUGCUGUGAAAAUAACAACUUUAGUGGAUUAAUUGCCCUCGGUUGUAUACCUAUUAACAUCAAUGGUUAAGGCUUGAUUUCCACUUAAAAAUUUUCGUCGUAAAAGCUUCGUGAAGAAUUUUUAUUGGUUAAAAAACGAAAGAGACGAAUUUCAACCAAUAGCAAUCCUUCACGGUGUUCUAUUACGGCGAACACUUUUAAGUGGAAACUAGACUUAAAUGCCGUCCAUUCUGAAGUGGAUGUCAGAGAUAUGAUAAAAUGCAGCAGCCGUUUUUCCUCUGACUGAUGUUUAUUUCUCGUAAAAUUAUGAAUGCGACGAAAAUAAAAUAAAUUUCAAG